Long non-coding RNA from Homo sapiens (human), 623 nucleotides. Ensembl annotates it as TSPAN11 antisense RNA 1. Its record names the gene TSPAN11-AS1. Lineage: Eukaryota; Metazoa; Chordata; Mammalia; Primates; Hominidae. The record is from Ensembl.
GCUCACCAUUUUCUCCAUUCCAUGGACAUUUUCCCACCACACCAGUGGCUACUCCCACUUGCACUAGGAGCGCUGUGACACCCCAACUUGUGGGGCAGAGGUCAGGCCCAGAGUGCUGAAGUGCUGAAGCUCCUGUAGAAGGUCCUUCCAUGUGUCUUUCAGAUCCUGGGCUUGGCCUUCUCCAUAACCAUCACCCAGCACAUCCACUGGACUGGGUCUUGCUCUGUCAUCCAGACUGGAGUACAGUGGUGCAACCACGGCUCACUGCAGCCUUGAACUCCUGGGCUCAAGCAAUCCUCCUACCUCAGCCUCCAUAGCAGUCGGGACCACAGAAGUUGCCUGCUUCCCCUUCGCCUUUGCCUUCUGCCAUGAUUAUAAGUUUCCUGAGGCCUCCCAGCCAUGCUUCCUGUUAAGCCUGUGAAACUCUCUGGACUGGGCAACUACUGGUCCCCUCAGCAAAGAUUUAUCUUUCUGCAUUUGCAAUGAAAACAUGUCCAACUCCAGGUUUGGGGAUGAGGACAAAUCAGCUGGUCCACGGUGGAGAAACCCUGUCACAGUAGAGUGAGUUGGUCUGGGGGUGAGGCUUGCAGUAGGAGUGUGUGUCUCAACAGACAGAGCCCCCU